CCCUCUUGGACCUAUCUAUCAAUCCAUGGACCUAAUAAUUUAAUUUUCUAGUAAAUAAAAUAAAUGCUAUAAACAAAACAAAGUAUGUGUACAAAACAUGCGUCUUGAAUUGGUUAGCAAUACUUUUCUUUAUUCUUUCCUGUAAAUUUUUAAUUCAUAAAAUUUUAAAAACUGGGUAAACUUUAGCCCAUACCCAGUCCAGGAAAAAAACCAACGAUUCACAGCGGAGCUUCUGCGCCUUCUGACAGUGGGAUGAAGAGGGCAUACACAAAAUCACGCAACUCUCUCCAAGAGAAGCCAAUGCAUUUCACACAAAUUGAGCGGCUGAUUUAUUCUCAACAGAUUUGGCCCGAGAUGACGAGGCCUGGUUGAAGGCGAACAAGUGUCAACUGGAGACGUCUUCUCACCCAGAGCAGCUACUUGCAGGCGCCUUUGGAACACUUCAAGCAGCCAAAAAACAAAAAUUGCAGAAAGCAGACAGACACAUCGCAUCAAAGAGUACAAAAAAUUAUUUCAAAGAAAAUUGAAAAUGUAUAACAAACGAUAUAAUAUAUAAUAAAAGAACUCAUGUAACUUUUUUUAAUAAAGCUAUUUCAACUGAUAGG
This is a long non-coding RNA of Neocloeon triangulifer, 605 nucleotides long. RefSeq lists it as uncharacterized. Lineage: Eukaryota; Metazoa; Arthropoda; Insecta; Ephemeroptera; Baetidae. The record is from RefSeq and is a predicted model, not a curated record. The transcript is spliced from 3 exons.